GAUUCUCAAUGAGCAAGAGAAGGUGAGGGAAGGUGCUAGAAGCCAGGCCCAGGAAGGUUCCUCAGGUUAAUUCUCGGGUAGCAGGCUCUUAUGGGUGCCUGGCAGAGGGAAUGCAUGCAGGAAGCUGUUUCCUUCCACCCGCCAUUGCAGCUUAUGGUCAGCCCAACUGUUCAACAUAAUCUGUUCUGCACUAACAUGCUGCGGAUCCUCAGCAGGUUUUUCUCCUGUGCCGACAGCUUCCUUGGGUCUGGAUAGACAGACAACUCAUCACUGGCUGUUCCCGCAGACUGGCUCCGGGCCUGGCCCAAUUGCUUCUCAAGCUCUCGAACCUGAGGAUGGUAAAACUCGUCGUUCCACAAUGGGUCUGCAGCCAGCCUCUUCUACUCAGAAGUGUGAUAGAAGACCCCACGGACUGAAGAUGGAACCACCUCUCUAGAUGGCUGUGGUAGCCCCAUCUGAGGAGGACUAGGGGUGGGGGACGAUCUGAGCUGGCAUCUUGAGCAACACAUUGGAAGACGCCAGGGAAGUUCAGCUUAGAAAAAAGGUGUGAAGAUGAAGACAUAGGAAGAUGAAGGGGUUUGCCCAAGGUCAGAGUUGGCAGACCAGUGGCCAAACGUAAACUAAGGCCAGGAGAAGUCUGAUGACUCACUCACCUUGCUCUGCAAAACAAGAAUUUGUUGAGCCCGACCCCUCCAGGUCCCUGGUGAGGAUAGCAGCUGCUGGACAUUGACAUCUUCCCCAACCUCACUGGCCAAAACCUGAAAUAAGGCAGGGCCUUCAGUGUGGCCAAAAGAGAGGGCUCCACCAGACCCUGAUGCUGCUGCAUAUUUAGAAGCAUAUUCAGAAGCAGCCUUCACCUACACAAUCUUCUUCCCAUCUCAGAGCAUAGCCCUCAAAGGUCAGUUUUCCAUGUCCCAAGGGCAGCUCUCCCUGGGAAAGUAGUAAACCCAUCAUCCCUGGCAUUUCUUAGCAAUGCUUAGAGCAGCCAAGAAACUGCCAGCAAUGCUCAGAUAGGGCCCCUUGCUCUUGACAUAUUCUGGGAUAACUGAACCACAAAACUGACCAACUCCUGCUUCCUUAACCCACUCACCUGUCACCUAGUGCUGAGCUAAUUCUGGCUAUAGGAAGUACAUUGCCACAGGACCCUGGCCCUUGUGAAAAGCCACAGACAAGUGGACCUCUGAGUGCAGCAAAAGGUGGGCUACUGAAUGUCAGUUGGGGCGCUGUGGUCCAAGAAGAGCCCAGCUUUGCGGUUGUUGAAGUGUAGCACUCAGGCCCAACCUCAAGGCUUUGAGGCAGAAACAAUACGCUCCAGUUUGUGACCUGGGCCCCUCUGAAGCCUGUCACAGAAACCCAAUCCAGCGUACCAAGUCUCUGGCGCUUGUUUCCACAAUAGAACACUGUUUUGGAAAUCUUGGCCAGUCUGAGUGGUUCCAGCAGGGAAGACAAAUGCCAGAGAAUUCGCUAUGU
Pongo pygmaeus (Bornean orangutan) is the source of this 1470-nucleotide long non-coding RNA. RefSeq lists it as uncharacterized. The record is from RefSeq and is a predicted model, not a curated record. Lineage: Eukaryota; Metazoa; Chordata; Mammalia; Primates; Hominidae. The transcript is spliced from 5 exons.